Molecule: ribosomal RNA, 194 nt
Filed under: uncultured bacterium
Lineage: Bacteria
Description: partial 16S ribosomal RNA
Rfam family: Bacterial small subunit ribosomal RNA
Source: RNAcentral
GCCUACGGGAGGCAGCAGUGGGGAAUUUUGGACAAUGGGCGAAAGCCUGAUCCAGCCAUGCCGCGUGCGGGAAGAAGGCCUUCGGGUUGUAAACCGCUUUUGUCAGGGAAGAAAUCUUUCGGGCUAAUACCUUGAGAGGAUGACGGUACCUGAAGAAUAAGCACCGGCUAACUACGUGCCAGCAGCCGCGGUAA